UCUGAUGUGAAAGCCCACGGGCUCAACCGUGGAGGGUCAUUGGAAACUGGGGAACUUGAGUGCAGAAGAGAAAAGCGGAAUUCCACGUGUAGCGGUGAAAUGCGUAGAGAUGUGGAGGAACACCAGUGGCGAAGGCGGCUUUUUGGUCUGUAACUGACGCUGAGGCGCGAAAGCGUGGGGAGCAAACAGGAUUAGAUACCC
Molecule: ribosomal RNA, 201 nt
Filed under: Bacillus sp. (in: firmicutes)
Lineage: Bacteria; Bacillati; Bacillota; Bacilli; Caryophanales; Bacillaceae
Description: Bacillus sp. (in: Bacteria) partial 16S ribosomal RNA
Rfam family: Bacterial small subunit ribosomal RNA
Source: RNAcentral